UUCAUUAGCAGCCACAUUGUCAAAUACUUUGAUUGAAGGGGAAUGACUGCAGAGGUUGUGUAGUAUAUUGAUGUCAUUUUUGUGAAGGCUCAGGUCAUGUUUUUCCAGUCCUACUCAUUUGUUAUCUGGAACAACAUAAUAGGUCAGGGUUUAGAAAGAAAGCCCAGAAAGGGAUUUCAUUUUUGGACCUGGUCCUAGUCAUAUGGGUGUUGAUUCAAGCAGUGGCAUGUGUUUCCUCAAUUUGUUAAGGUUGGCUCCCAUGGCCCAAAGACAAUAAGUGCUAGAGACAAGUCCUGAUGGAGAACUUUGAGUAUACUGGAGAUAUCUUUAUUUUAAAUAAGGGUUUACAUCAUGCUGAUUGUAAAUUAUUUUUUAAAAAUCUUGGAUUGUGUGUAGACUGUUAGGGCUGCACAAUUAUUUGAAUACUUAUUGCAAUCACGAUUUUGCAUAAUUAAAUGAACAUGACUUUCUGCAAUAUCUGCAUUUUUAAAUGCACGCUCCACUCACAGAAAACUGUCUGAUAUCAAAUCAAACACCUAAAAUACAACACCUAAAAUAACGGCUGCCCUGCUGCCGCGUGUUCACCUUGCUGUGGCAGUUCAGAGUAGAAGAGGAACAACAGGGAGCAGGCAGGCAAAAUGAAAAUCAAGUGUCUGGAGCAGAAGGCAAAAAGCUAGUCCUUUAAAACAGAUCAUCUGCUGUUCUGAAGCAUCGCGAGGUCAAACAAGAGCAAAUCAAAGCAAUGCAACGAGUGUGUGAAACUUCUGAAUCUGCGCUGCUAAGCAACACAAUUAACCUGUUCAACCACCCAAAAAAUGGCCCAAACUGCAGUACGUAUGAAUGCACGAAGGCCAAAAGGAAUAACAGCACCAGCGUUACCUCGGUCAACCUCCAUCUUCGUCCAGCAUCAAGAGCGUCGUUUUACAGCAUGUCACCGUAUCCAUCCAGCUUCCAAAGUCAGACUGACAUAAGCAGUGCAGUUGCAUUUCAUUUGGCCAGAGGAAUCGGCCUGUGCUAUAAUCAGGACUCUGUGGGGAAAGCAGACGGUCCCCUGUCAUUGGGCAAGGCGGUGUCCAAUCAUGGCACCAAGUCUUAAUCUGACAGGGGAAGAGAAACUCAAGACCAUAUUCAUCCCAGUCAUCUCUGAUUCAGUGAGCAAUAGGCUGGUUCAUGCUGUGGUCACAGUAACUGCAGUGUUAAUCUAUAACAGAACUGCCCUACAGGUAUUUUAAUUUGAGCCACUUUUCUUUGGCCAUUUCCGAAAAGGUGGUCAUGAUGCUCAUGUGGAUAAACAUCUUUGGUGUUAAGUGUUGAGUGACGUCUUUUUAUAACAAAUAAACACCCUCAUCACUCUUCACAG
Long non-coding RNA from Lates calcarifer (barramundi perch), 1360 nucleotides. RefSeq lists it as uncharacterized. The record is from RefSeq and is a predicted model, not a curated record. The transcript is spliced from 2 exons. Lineage: Eukaryota; Metazoa; Chordata; Actinopteri; Centropomidae.